Molecule: long non-coding RNA, 1250 nt
Filed under: Prunus persica (peach)
Lineage: Eukaryota; Viridiplantae; Streptophyta; Magnoliopsida; Rosales; Rosaceae
Description: long non-coding RNA (PPER_LNC005929)
Source: RNAcentral
GAGAUCGCCUCUCGCAUCCAAGUUCAAAUUUCACUUUCUGUAAAUUAUAUUAAUUUAGAGUAGUUUAGACAAUCACUUGUAUCAAAACUUUUAUGCCUAAUCUUUAAUUUUAUGCUCUCUAAACAAAGCCAUAAAUGUUCUAAAUCUUUCAUAAUCCCCUUAAACAUAAUCUUAACUAAUACACCUGAAUAAACUCCCAUCAACACUAAAAAAAAUUACUUAAAAAACAAUCAGAAAAUUAAAAAGAAUAAAAAAGCUUGCGUGACUGAAGAGUUUGGAAGAAUUAUCAAGAAUCAGAAAGUAAUUGAUUACUGUAGGAAGAGUGGGUAACAUGCUCCAUCUCUGGACAUAAAAGCAAAAGGCAUGUAGUUGUAAGAUACAAUAGUAAUAUUCAUUUGAUCUUAGUGGGAUAGAUUUGUCAUUUGGUUAACAAGCAUGGAGGACACAGCAUAUUUAAAAGAGUUAACAUUCUUACUAUGUUUUCCCCUUUCUUGCUCACGCUUUGUUUCUGUAUUAAGAAAUCAUAUCCCAAAAAAGGGCAUUUGUGGGGACUGGAGAUGGAUUUCUUUUGCUUGGGCAAGCCAUCCCUCAAGUUAUUACUUUUUGACCGUUUCAACAGGGGCCCUAAACACUAAUUAGAGCAAGUAAUUACGGUGUAAUAUUAGAUUAUGACUACGUGGUAUAAUUUGUUCAAGUGUUAUAAUAUAAAUAAAUAUUUAUUGAGACUAGACCUUCAAAAUAAAAAAUUUUAAUUUUGUCGCCCACUCAAAUUAUAAUACGUGAACAAAUUAUAUUAUAUAGCUAUAUUUCAAUGCUAUACAACAAUUUCUGAACUUGCAGGGAUAUAUCUUGCCCUGAUCUCAAGGCAAGCCCAAUGUACAAUAUUCUAGCCAACAGUAAGAGUUGCUUGCCAUAAUGAGGUCAUAGAUGCUUAUCAGACUGAAACACAUUCGUGGACAUUUCCCCUACAGAUGGCACAUGCAUCUACAAGGAGUUCGAGUUCAAUUUUGCUUCCAUUUUGGAAGAUCAUAAAUUCAUCGGUUUAAAAUAUCUAAAAUUUAUGGUUUAUUUGUAGGUUCUAAAAUGGGCAAAAUAGAUUUUGAAACGAAGUUUUUUUUUUUUUUACAUAAAAAGCAAGAGGUUUGUAAUUUAAGUGGUUAAGAGUAGUUAAUUUUGCAUAUCAUAUUUUAUAUUCAAAUCACUCCUCUCCUGAUAUCGAUCGUAUGAAAAAGAAAUUAAAGAAAAAAAAU